AGUGAACGCUGGCGGUAGGCCUAACACAUGCAAGUCGAACGGCAGCACAGUAAGAGCUUGCUCUUACGGGUGGCGAGUGGCGGACGGGUGAGGAAUACAUCGGAAUCUACUUUUUCGUGGGGGAUAACGUAGGGAAACUUACGCUAAUACCGCAUACGACCUACGGGUGAAAGCAGGGGAUCUUCGGACCUUGCGCGAUUGAAUGAGCCGAUGUCGGAUUAGCUAGUUGGCGGGGUAAAGGCCCACCAGGGCGACGAUCCGUAGCUGGUCUGAGAGGAUGAUCAGCCACACUGGAACUGAGACACGGUCCAGACUCCUACGGGAGGCAGCAGUGGGGAAUAUUGGACAAUGGGCGCAAGCCUGAUCCGGCCAUACCGCGUGGGUGAAGAAGGCCUUCGGGUUGUAAAGCCCUUUUGUUGGGAAAGAAAAGCAGCAGGUUAAUACCCCGCUGUUCUGACGGUACCCAAAGAAUAAGCACCGGCUAACUUCGUG
RNAcentral lists this ribosomal RNA (492 nucleotides) under uncultured bacterium. RNAcentral describes it as "partial 16S ribosomal RNA". It matches the Rfam family "Bacterial small subunit ribosomal RNA", at positions 29 to 507 of the family's 1533-position model. The record is from RNAcentral.